RNAcentral lists this ribosomal RNA (429 nucleotides) under Bacteroidota bacterium. RNAcentral describes it as "Bacteroidetes bacterium partial 16S ribosomal RNA". It matches the Rfam family "Bacterial small subunit ribosomal RNA", at positions 355 to 776 of the family's 1533-position model. Lineage: Bacteria; Pseudomonadati; Bacteroidota. The record is from RNAcentral.
UAGGGAAUCUUCCGCAAUGGACGCAAGUCUGACGGAGCAACGCCGCGUGAGUGAAGAAGGAUUUCGGUUCGUAAAACUCUGUUGUUAGAGAAGAACAGCGCAUAGAGUAACUGUUAUGCGUGUGACGGUAUCUAACCAGAAAGCCACGGCUAACUACGUGCCAGCAGCCGCGGUAAUACGUAGGUGGCAAGCGUUGUCCGGAUUUAUUGGGCGUAAAGCGAGCGCAGGCGGUCAAUUAAGUCUGAUGUGAAAGCCCCCGGCUCAACCGGGGAGGGUCAGUGGAAACUGGUUGACUUGAGUGCAGAAGAGGAGAGUGGAAUUCCAUGUGUAGCGGUAAAAUGAGUAGAUAUAUGGAGGAACACCAGUGGCGAAGGCGACUAUCUGGUCAGUAACUGACGCUGAGGUUCGAAAGCGUGGGUAGCAAACAGG